GGUAUUCUGUGAAUUAAUAAGUCUUAAUCCCUUAAAUUCACAUUAUUCUUUUAAAUCAACAUAAAUUUUAGAUCGUUCCUUUAUUUAGGAUUUCUCAAGAAUCAACAUAAUAUUAGCAAAGCUGAAAGUUUGGUUCUUAACUGUCUACAACACCUACCAUUUCUCUCUUUUUUAAUUCCCUAGUCUCAUUUAGUUUCCCCC
Molecule: long non-coding RNA, 201 nt
Filed under: Citrus maxima (pomelo)
Lineage: Eukaryota; Viridiplantae; Streptophyta; Magnoliopsida; Sapindales; Rutaceae
Description: long non-coding RNA (CMAX_LNC004056)
Source: RNAcentral